RNAcentral lists this ribosomal RNA (253 nucleotides) under uncultured bacterium. RNAcentral's name for it is "partial 16S ribosomal RNA". It matches the Rfam family "Bacterial small subunit ribosomal RNA", at positions 524 to 776 of the family's 1533-position model. The record is from RNAcentral.
UACGUAGGGGGCUAGCGUUGUCCGGAAUCAUUGGGCGUAAAGCGCGUGUAGGCGGUCCGGUAAGUCCGCUCUGAAAGCCCGGGGCUCAACCCCGGGAGGCGGGCGGAUACUGUCGGGCUAGAGUCCGGAAGAGGCGAGUGGAAUUCCUGGUGUAGCGGUGAAAUGCGCAGAUAUCAGGAGGAACACCGAUGGCGAAGGCAGCUCGCUGGGACGGUACUGACGCUGAGGCGCGAAAGCGUGGGGAGCAAACAGG